UGCCCUGUCGUCUAAUGGUAGGACACGUGACUCUGGAUCACGUUAUCCUGGUUCGAGUCCAGGCGGGGCAGCCA
RNAcentral lists this transfer RNA (74 nucleotides) under Candidatus Omnitrophota bacterium. RNAcentral's name for it is "Candidatus Omnitrophica bacterium (groundwater metagenome) tRNA-Gln". It matches the Rfam family "tRNA". From Rfam's summary of the family: Transfer RNA (tRNA) molecules are approximately 80 nucleotides in length. Lineage: Bacteria; Pseudomonadati; Candidatus Omnitrophota. The record is from RNAcentral.